Molecule: ribosomal RNA, 485 nt
Filed under: uncultured bacterium
Lineage: Bacteria
Description: partial 16S ribosomal RNA
Rfam family: Bacterial small subunit ribosomal RNA
Source: RNAcentral
AUUGAACGCUGGCGGCAGGCUUAACACAUGCAAGUCGAGCGGGGAAAGGUAGCUUGCUACCUGACCUAGCGGCGGACGGGUGAGUAAUGCUUAGGAAUCUGCCCAUUAGUGGGGGACAACAUCUCGAAAGGGAUGCUAAUACCGCAUACGUCCUACGGGAGAAAGCAGGGGACCUUCGGGCCUUGCGCUAAUAGAUGAGCCUAAGUCGGAUUAGCUAGUUGGUGGGGUAAAGGCCUACCAAGGCGACGAUCUGUAGCGGGUCUGAGAGGAUGAUCCGCCACACUGGGACUGAGACACGGCCCAGACUCCUACGGGAGGCAGCAGUGGGGAAUAUUGGACAAUGGGGGGAACCCUGAUCCAGCCAUGCCGCGUGUGUGAAGAAGGCCUUUUGGUUGUAAAGCACUUUAAGCGAGGAGGAGGCUACCGAGAUUAAUACUCUUGGAUAGUGGACGUUACUCGCAGAAUAAGCACCGGCUAACUCUGUG